This 496-nucleotide ribosomal RNA is filed under the name uncultured bacterium. RNAcentral describes it as "partial 16S ribosomal RNA". It matches the Rfam family "Bacterial small subunit ribosomal RNA", at positions 28 to 506 of the family's 1533-position model. The record is from RNAcentral.
GACGAACGCUGGCGGCGUGCCUAAUACAUGCAAGUUGAGCGAUGAAGAUUGGUGCUUGCACCAAUUUGAAGAGCAGCGAACGGGUGAGUAACGCGUGGGGAAUCUGCCUUUGAGCGGGGGACAACAUUUGGAAACGAAUGCUAAUACCGCAUAACAACUUUAAACAUAAGUUUUAAGUUUGAAAGAUGCAAUUGCAUCACUCAAAGAUGAUCCCGCGUUGUAUUAGCUAGUUGGUGAGGUAAAGGCUCACCAAGGCGAUGAUACAUAGCCGACCUGAGAGGGUGAUCGGCCACAUUGGGACUGAGACACGGCCCAAACUCCUACGGGAGGCAGCAGUAGGGAAUCUUCGGCAAUGGACGAAAGUCUGACCGAGCAACGCCGCGGGAGUGAAGAAGGUUUUCGGAUCGUAAAACUCUGUUGGUAGAGAAGAACGCUGGUGAGAGUGGAAAGCUCAUCAAGUGACGGUAACUACCCAGAAAGGGACGGCUAACUACGU